RNAcentral lists this transfer RNA (73 nucleotides) under Planctomycetota bacterium. Its description in RNAcentral is "Planctomycetes bacterium (wastewater metagenome) tRNA-Gly". It matches the Rfam family "tRNA". Rfam says of the family: Transfer RNA (tRNA) molecules are approximately 80 nucleotides in length. Their secondary structure includes four short double-helical elements and three loops (D, anti-codon, and T loops). The record is from RNAcentral. Lineage: Bacteria; Pseudomonadati; Planctomycetota.
GCGGGCGUAGCUCAGCGGCUAGAGUACAAGCUUGCCAUGCUUGGUGUCGUGGGUUCGAAUCCCAUCGCCCGCU